AAUCCGCCGGCUGGCGCCCCUGGAAUGGGGAGGUCGGCCGCCUGGCGGGGCCAGCGGUCCUUAGCGGUGCCUUCUCUCCCCUCUUCCCUCCGCUCCUGCUGUGCGGGAACUGGAGAAUCGUUAGGACGUGGAGGAAGCAGAGAAGUGGAUCAGAGAACAGGAGGGCUGGGAAGAGUCCUGGUUUCUCAAUCCUGACUGAGCAUCUGAAUCACCUGAGAAGCUACUAAAAUGCAGAUUCCCCGACCCCAUCCCCUUAGAGUCAGAGUCUGUGCAUUUAGGGUGCGGCCUUUCUCAGAGGGAUCGACUGAGACCUACUGAACCCUAGAAGUCUUUACCUGAGGCAGUUCCUGCAAUGUACUGUAUAUUUCAUGACAUUCCAUGUAAAAGAUGACAAGACCGAGACCGUUGAGUGACAGAGAUAAGAACUGACUUAUCUAAGGCUCCACAGGUGGUAGAUGGCAGAGCCGAGACCUGAGCCAAUUAUCUUUUCUCCUGCACUGUGCGGGGUAAUACAGCUCGUUUAAAACAAGCUGGAGUCUCCAUUCCGUUUUCCGCGUUGCUUCUCACAACUCACUGUUAGAAUCCAGAAGUAAGAGAACCCGGGGAAGCGUAAGGAAGAUGAAUAGGACAAAGAUUCUAAGAAGGUGGGAAGGAAGAAGGCUGCAGUCUAUUUCAAGUCUGGUGAAUUUCAAUCACUGUAGCCUUUAUUGUUAUUUUAGAGCCACCUAGACCAAAAGAGAAGGAGCUCAAAUUGCUGGUGAAAGAAGACUGCAGCUGAGUUCUAUUAUCAAAGCAAAGUGCUGUACUGUACUUGAAAUAACUCUAGCAAAUACUGUGCUUCCUGCACAGAACCUGUUGGAUUACUCACACAAAUGUCAAAGAACAGGUUGACAUUUUAGCAAGUUAUCAGCCUGGCCCAUAUAAAAAAAGACAUUUCUAGUUUUUACACUUUGCAGGGUUCAGAGAGCAGUUGAAUGUUAUUUUUAGUCUAUGAUCCAAAGCAGCUAAUGACAGAGUCUACCUUAGAAGAUAAACAGGCUUCUGAUUUAUAACACAAGGCUAAUGGUAGAUAUUGUGUGAUGUGUCCAGUUAAAUUAACGAAAUAGCUUUGCAACAGUGUGGAGUAAAGACUUAGGCUUAAAACAGAGAAUUUGAGGAUUGAGAUAAGUCCAGAGAAGCAGCAGGAUGGAGUGCAGAUGCAAGAGAAAGGCUAUGUCAAUGCCAUAUUAUAAAUAUAGCUCAUAGACAGCAUAUCCUAGUGUGUGUCUGAAGAGGCCUGUGCCCUUGAGGAAAGGGGAGAUUAUGACCUUGUCCCCCAGUGUCAUUUGCAUAAAUUCUUAGAGACCUUGGGGCAGUGAGUAGGAGACUGGUUGAGAUGAUUACUAUAGGAAAAUUGAAUAACUUAAAGUAUGGAUAUCUUACUGUUACAGGAAAUGCUUAGGAGGUGAGGUACUCUGAAUUUAGAAUAUGAUGGCCUAAGGGAUUCGGAGUCAAGAAGCAGGACAUGGGAUGAAGAUACAUCCACUGUCAAGCUGGUCAUUACGACAGGGAGAAAUAGCCCUCCACAGAGUGAGACUAGUGAGACUUGCAAGAAUUGAAUGAUGGUCCCGUUGGACGAAACUCUUUAGGGAGAUGAGUUUCUCACACCUGCACAAUGACAUCCUGUGGCUAUUAUCAGACAUAUCGGAGACCUUGGACCUUGUGUUGAUUUAUGUAGAGGAUUCCCUUUCCAGAGGAUAUGCUGGAUAAGUACAGCAAAUUGACUGCAACGCUCUAUAAAACAGAUCUUUCAUAUAUCUGUAAUAAAAUAACAGUGUACAUAUUUACCAUAAUGAGAAACUGCAUUUGCUUGAAGUAUAAUACAUUUUUAGUGUUAGUGGGCAGAGUAA
Molecule: long non-coding RNA, 1889 nt
Filed under: Homo sapiens (human)
Lineage: Eukaryota; Metazoa; Chordata; Mammalia; Primates; Hominidae
Description: HSALNT0316094
Source: RNAcentral